UAAGGUCACAGUAAGACUAACUGAACAUAAUAGGUGUUAGGUAUAAGUGUAGUAAUACAUUCAGCUAAAACAUACUAAGGACCACACAUUUUU
This 93-nucleotide ribosomal RNA is filed under the name Thismia panamensis. Its description in RNAcentral is "4.5S ribosomal RNA". Lineage: Eukaryota; Viridiplantae; Streptophyta; Magnoliopsida; Dioscoreales; Thismiaceae. The record is from RNAcentral.